UACGUAGGUGGCAAGCGUUGUCCGGAUUUACUGGGCGUAAAGAGCGCGCAGGCGGUCGCAUAAGUCGAGUGUGAAAGCCCCCGGCUUAACUGGGGAGGGUCAUUCGAUACUGCUCGACUUGAAGGCAGGAGAGGGUAGUGGAAUUCCCGGUGUAGUGGUGAAAUGCGUAGAUAUCGGGAGGAACACCAGUGGCGAAGGCGACUACCUGGCCUGUUCUUGACGCUGAGGCGCGAAAGCUGGGGGAGCAAACGGG
RNAcentral lists this ribosomal RNA (253 nucleotides) under uncultured bacterium. Its description in RNAcentral is "partial 16S ribosomal RNA". It matches the Rfam family "Bacterial small subunit ribosomal RNA", at positions 524 to 776 of the family's 1533-position model. The record is from RNAcentral.